ACUUAAAGUUAAAUUGGGUGCAUUUAGCUCACAUGGUCCUCUUGGCCAGCAAUUGUCUUUGUCUGAUGAUAUGAUUGAGUGGGCCACAGGAAUUACAGAGACUCCACGCUCUGUAUGCACUGAGAGUUGUCAUCCUGGAUUCAGGAAAUCCCCUCAGGAGGGAAAACCUGCCUGUUGUUUUGAUUGCACCCCUUGCCCAGAGAAUGAGAUCACCAACGACACUGGUCAGAGUGUGUCUUCGGGACAAAUUCUCCAUGUUCAUUUUGUAUUCACUCCAUCCAUCCAGGAAAUGGAAAAAAAUUGUUCAGAGAACAACUAUGAUCAAAUUCUUUCUUCUGUGAAUGACAAAAUUCUUCCUUCUAUCAGGUGAAAAUUUAUUCUUUCAACUUAGAACUAUUAUCCCUUUAAAGACACAUUCUCUGUCCCUUGUACUAUACAUACUCAUAGAUUCACUUUUAUUUCUUAUGUUUUCUUUUCCUUUUGACAUUGAUGAAGAUUGAACCAAGAGGGCCCCUUGCCCUGAGCUUUAUCACUACC
Heterocephalus glaber (naked mole-rat) is the source of this 537-nucleotide non-coding RNA. The record is from RefSeq and is a predicted model, not a curated record. NCBI's taxonomy places the organism in Eukaryota, Metazoa, Chordata, Mammalia, Rodentia, Bathyergidae.